This 73-nucleotide transfer RNA is filed under the name Candidatus Woesearchaeota archaeon. RNAcentral's name for it is "tRNA-Gln". It matches the Rfam family "tRNA". From Rfam's summary of the family: Transfer RNA (tRNA) molecules are approximately 80 nucleotides in length. Lineage: Archaea; Nanobdellati; Candidatus Woesearchaeota. The record is from RNAcentral.
AGCCCCGUAGUGUAGCGGCCAAUCAUUCCGCCCUCUGGAGGCGGGGACCCAGGUUCGAAUCCUGGCGGGGCUG